CAUGACAUACUAUAGUUUUUGGUUUUUUUAGCUAAACGUCUGAUAUGAGAAGAAGCUUUUUUGUGAAUCUGGAAUGAAAUGUUUUUAUUAAACAGAAUUUUUUUUUAUUUACCUGACGAGAUUUGAACCCGGGACCUCCUGCACUUCAGUCUACGAUCUUACCACUGCUGCAAUUUGUUCUUAAUCCCA
Long non-coding RNA from Bradysia coprophila, 189 nucleotides. The record is from RefSeq and is a predicted model, not a curated record. Lineage: Eukaryota; Metazoa; Arthropoda; Insecta; Diptera; Sciaridae.